GUCGGAUUUAGGUUGGAAGCAUGAAAUGAACGUCUUCCUUCUCGAAAUUUUACCGUCGAUUUCGCCGUGCCUAUCCCUGGAUUUUGUGGGUUGAAUCUGUGCUAAAAAGCAACUACACAUUUAUUACCAAAGGUUGCUACUUGCAGAAGGCAGUUCUUAACAAUAGUCUUUGCAACCUGGAUCUCUUAGAUCCAAAAUUUCUCAGAUCCAGAUUCCGUAAGAUUUUUGGGAGAUACCUGGUGUGACGUGGUGGCAGCAGAGUCAUUCACCAGAAAGGAAUGCUGUUGAUGUUUCAUUAUCAGUGUAAAUGAAAAAUUUCCAGUAUCAUUGUUGUAUUGUUGGAUUACUUAUUCAUUCAAGAAACGGAGAAAGCUUCGAGAUGAGUUUGGUCAUUUCUUUAUUACUAAGUGGCUAGUCAAGUGUCACAUUGUGCUGGUCACUGAUAACUUGGGUUUACAUACCAUCUUUGCCAAUUGUGUUUAGAGAUUCUUAGUUUUUUUUUGUAGUUGACAGUAAAUUUGAACAAAGAAAGAAAUUUUGUAGCAAUAUUUCUUUGCUAUGGCUAGAAUUCAAGU
Daphnia carinata is the source of this 575-nucleotide long non-coding RNA. RefSeq lists it as uncharacterized. The record is from RefSeq and is a predicted model, not a curated record. The transcript has 3 exons. Lineage: Eukaryota; Metazoa; Arthropoda; Branchiopoda; Diplostraca; Daphniidae.